Molecule: long non-coding RNA, 263 nt
Filed under: Capsicum annuum
Lineage: Eukaryota; Viridiplantae; Streptophyta; Magnoliopsida; Solanales; Solanaceae
Description: long non-coding RNA (CANN_LNC008698)
Source: RNAcentral
GGUGAUAGUUAGGUCUAUUACUCAUACUGUCCUGAGACCUAGACACAGUAGGUUUAUUACCCUGCUCCUGCCUAACUCUAGAUGCGAGAGUACUAGCUGAUGACGGUGCUGGCAUAAAAGAAUGACUCUGAAACUGAGGGCGGAUCCUUUUAGUAAAUCUACUCUGACUAUACCCCUGCUGCUCUGAUCUAACUCUCUUAUUCCCUCUCUUUCACCUUGUCCACUUCAAUCUGCUGGGUAUGUAUCAUCAAUCUAAAAAGAUC